This 1038-nucleotide long non-coding RNA is filed under the name Olea europaea subsp. europaea. The record is from RNAcentral. Lineage: Eukaryota; Viridiplantae; Streptophyta; Magnoliopsida; Lamiales; Oleaceae.
CUUCAACACUCCUCCUUGGCACUUUUGUUGGAAACACCAAGACUGUUUCUAAAUGUUUCAAAUCUUGCUUUAGGUAAGGACAUGGUUAGAAUAUCUGCAUUUUGAUCCUCUGAUUUGCAGCUUACAAGUUCCACUUCCUUUUCUUUUUGUGGUUCUCUGAUCGAGUGAUACUUGAUCUUGAUAUGCUUGGUUCUUCCGUUAAACACAUGAUUCUUCACCAUAGCUACUGCAAAUUGGUUGUUACAAUAGAUGAUUGUUGCUUCUUCGUGCUUGUGUUUGAGAUCCUAUAACACUUUCUUCAACCAGAGUGCUUGAUUUGUAGCUUCUGAGGUUGCAAUGUAUUCAGCUUCUGCUGUGGACUGUGCUACAAUUUUCUGCUUUAUUGAAUUCCAACAAAUAACACUUGAGCCAACAUAAAACACAUAACCAGAGGUGCUUUUCAUGUCUUCGGAGGAUCUAGCCCAAUCACUAUCUGUAAAACCAAUCAACUUCAGAAUUUCAGACUUUCUAAACCAAAUUCCCAGCUCUUCAGUCCCUUUAAUGUAUCUCAAAACCCUUUUUGCUGCUUGAAAGUGUAUUUUGCUUGGCUCUUGUCUAAAUCUUGACAACAUAUUUGUAACAAAUGUAAUAUCUAGUCUUGUUACUGAUAAAUACAACAAGCACCCCCACUAAACUUCUAUAAACUCAGCAUCUAUCUUUUUACAUCCAUCUUCCUUCAUCAACUUUGCAUUCUGAAUUAGGGGAGUGCUUACUGGUUUACAAUUUUCCAUAUUGAACUUUCUUGAAACUUCCUUAUCAUACUUUCUUUGGCAAACAAAGAUUCCUUGUUGUGUUUGAUGUAUUUCUAUGCCAAGAAAGUAUUGUAUUUUCCCCAAAUUUGUUAUAUCAAAUGCUUUCUUCAAUUGUGAUUUCACCUUUUCAAUUAAAGCAAAGUUGCUGCCAGUCACUAGAAGAUCAUCAACAUAUAGCGAAAUAAUAACCAUUUCUUUUUGCACUUGCUUUACAUAAAGGAUUUGUGAUACGAACCCGGUUAGCAAG